UGGGCCUAAAGCAUCCGUAGCCGGCUCUGCAAGUCUUCGGUUAAAUCCACCUGCUUAACAGAUGGGCUGCUGGAGAUACUACAGAGCUAGGGAGUGGGAGAGGCAGACGGUAUUCAGUGGGUAGGGGUAAAAGCCUCUGAGCCAGGGAGGACCACCAGUGGCGAAGGCGGUCUGCCAGAACACGUUCGACGGUGAGGGAUGAAAGCUGGGGGAGCAAACCGG
RNAcentral lists this ribosomal RNA (222 nucleotides) under uncultured bacterium. RNAcentral describes it as "partial 16S ribosomal RNA". It matches the Rfam family "Archaeal small subunit ribosomal RNA", at positions 505 to 727 of the family's 1478-position model. The record is from RNAcentral.